UACGUAGGGUCCGAGCGUUAUCCGGAAUUAUUGGGCGUAAAGGGCUCGUAGGCGGUUUGUUGCGUCGGGAGUGAAAACCCAGGGCUUAACUCUGGGCUUGCUUUCGAUACGGGCAGACUUGAGGUAUUCAGGGGAGAACGGAAUUCCUGGUGUAGCGGUGAAAUGCGCAGAUAUCAGGAGGAACACCGGUGGCGAAGGCGGUUCUCUGGGAAUUACCUGACGCUGAGGAGCGAAAGUGUGGGGAGCGAACAGGAUUAGAUACCCUGGUAGUCCACACCGUAAACGUUGGGCGCUAGGUGUGGGACACAUUCCACGUGUUCCGUGCCGCAGCUAACGCAUUAAGCGCCCCGCCUGGGGAGUACGGCCGCAAGGCUAAA
This 377-nucleotide ribosomal RNA is filed under the name uncultured bacterium. RNAcentral's name for it is "bacterial SSU rRNA". It matches the Rfam family "Bacterial small subunit ribosomal RNA", at positions 524 to 898 of the family's 1533-position model. The record is from RNAcentral.